UACGUAGGUCCCGAGCGUUGUCCGGAUUUAUUGGGCGUAAAGCGAGCGCAGGUGGUUUAUUAAGUCUGGUGUAAAAGGCAGUGGCUCAACCAUUGUAUGCAUUGGAAACUGGUGGUCUUGAGUGGAUGAGAAGUACGCGGAAUGCGUGGUGUAGCGGUGAAAUGCAUAGAUAUCACGCAGAACUCCGAUUGCGAAGGCAGCGUACCGGCAUCCAACUGACGCUGAGGCACGAAAGCGUGGGGAUCAAACAGG
This 252-nucleotide ribosomal RNA is filed under the name uncultured bacterium. RNAcentral's name for it is "partial 16S ribosomal RNA". It matches the Rfam family "Bacterial small subunit ribosomal RNA", at positions 524 to 776 of the family's 1533-position model. The record is from RNAcentral.